This 658-nucleotide ribosomal RNA is filed under the name Hepatozoon felis. RNAcentral's name for it is "SSU rRNA". It matches the Rfam family "Eukaryotic small subunit ribosomal RNA", at positions 167 to 810 of the family's 1831-position model. Lineage: Eukaryota; Apicomplexa; Hepatozoidae. The record is from RNAcentral.
AUACAUGGAAGCAAAAUCUCAACUAUUUUGGAAGAGAUGCAUUUAUUAGAUAAAAAACCAAUACAUACUUUUUCAAGUAUGAAAUUAGGUGAUUUACAAUAACUUAGCAAAUCGCAUAGUGAAAACAGGCGAUAAAUCAUUCAAGUUUCUGACCUAUCAGCUUUCGACGGUAUGGUAUUGGCUUACCGUGGCAGUGACGGUUAACGGGGGAUUAGGGUUCGAUUCCGGAGAGGGAGCCUGAGAAACGGCUACCACAUCUAAGGAAGGCAGCAGGCGCGCAAAUUACCCAAUUCUAACAGCAUAAGAGAGGUAGUGACAAGAAAUAACAAUACAAGGCAGUUAAAAUGCUUUGUAAUUGGAAUGAUAGAAAUUUAAACACUUUUUAAAGUAUCAAUUGGAGGGCAAGUCUGGUGCCAGCAGCCGCGGUAAUUCCAGCUCCAAUAGCGUAUAUUAAAAUUGUUGCAGUUAAAAAGCUCGUAGUUGAAUUUCUGUUAAAAAUAACCGGUCUGCUUUUAAUAAAAGUGGUAUCUUGGUGUGUUUUUAGCAAUAAUGUCCUUUGAAAUGUUUUUUACUUUAUUGUAAUAAAUAAUAUUCAGGAUUUUUACUUUGAGAAAAUUAGAGUGUUUCUAGCAGGCUAACGCUUUGAAUACUGCAGCAU